Molecule: long non-coding RNA, 174 nt
Organism: Molossus molossus (Pallas's mastiff bat)
Lineage: Eukaryota; Metazoa; Chordata; Mammalia; Chiroptera; Molossidae
Exons: 3
Source: RefSeq, a predicted model, not a curated record
GCUCUCCUCCCUCACCUCCAGUUUCACAACUGAUGUCCAGGAGCAGAACCGGUGUAAUUGUGGAGGAGAUGCUUCUGUAAUAGAUUUCCAACCUGAGGAGGACAAAGAGAUGAACAGUCAGCUCUGACCUCUUGUUUGAGCACCAACCUCAAAUAUCCAAAUACCCAACAGCCA